CAAAGCACUUUGAAGAGAGAGUUAAAGAGGACGUGAAACCGGUAAGAUGGAAACGGAUAGAGCCAGCGAAGUCGCUCGUAUUCAGCCAAAGACUCGGUGUCACCGGCUGUCGGGUUUCUAAUCGAGCACGGCAGUUGGUUGGCGCUGUUUCGAGGUGCAUUUGCGGGCGUUUGCGCCGAGACUUGCGGAGCAGCUCUUGGAACCGCGUCUAGAGGCUUCCCUCUGGGUUGUACCUGGGCGUGGCUACAGGUGUUUGCUCUGCUCGUACAUGGGUCUGGCCUACGGGGUCAGGUUGCGCCGUUGUUGCCUAGCGGUGGUAUCGCAUGCGAUGCCUAGCUUGGUGGCUGCGGUUCGGCUUGACUCCACUGACUCGCUCUCGGUGUAGAAGCUGGUCAUCUCUCCGACCCGUCUUGAAACACGGACCAAGGACUUUAGCGUAUGCGCGAGCCAUUGGGUGCAAAACCCACAGACACAAUGAAAGUAAAGGUCCAGUCCCUGGGCUGACAUGUGAGCGCCGCGGCUUCGGCCCUGGUGUGCAGCAUGGUCCCGUUGCAGUCGCUUGCGACGCAGCGGAGACAGAGCGUAUGCGCUGAGACCCGAAAGAUGGUGAACUAUUCCUGAGCAGGACGAAGCCAGAGGAAACUCUGGUGGAAGUCCGAAGCGAUU
RNAcentral lists this ribosomal RNA (666 nucleotides) under Hemicycliophora poranga. Its description in RNAcentral is "eukaryotic LSU rRNA". It matches the Rfam family "Eukaryotic large subunit ribosomal RNA", at positions 367 to 885 of the family's 3401-position model. The record is from RNAcentral. Lineage: Eukaryota; Metazoa; Nematoda; Chromadorea; Rhabditida; Hemicycliophoridae.